CCCUUAGACGUUCUGGGCCGCACGCGCGCUACACUGACCAGUGCAACAAGCAUCCGUCCUUGGCCGACAGGCCCGGGCAAUCUUUGAACGCUGGUCGUGAUGGGGAUAGACUUUUGCAAUUUUUGGUCUUCAACGAGGAAUUCCUAGUAAACGCAAGUCAUCAACUUGCAUUGAUUACGUCCCUGCCCUUUGUACACACCGCCCGUCGCACCUACCGAUUGAAUGGUCCGGUGAAGCCUCCGGAUUGGCGCGCACCUCGGUGCCGCCGAGAAGUUGGCUAGACCUUACCAUUUAGAGGAAGGUGAAGUCGUAACA
RNAcentral lists this ribosomal RNA (315 nucleotides) under uncultured eukaryote. RNAcentral's name for it is "partial 18S ribosomal RNA". It matches the Rfam family "Eukaryotic small subunit ribosomal RNA", at positions 1470 to 1796 of the family's 1831-position model. The record is from RNAcentral.